AAGUCGUAACAAGGUUUCCGUAGGUGAACCUGCGGAAGGAUCAUUACAAGAAAUAUAUGGAGGGAGGGGGAAGAAGGAUAUCAAGGUCCUUUUCUCUCUCUCUCUCUGACACACACGGGGCCCGAGAGGGACCUGAUGUAUACGCUUGCAAGUUUGACAGAGUAUAGGAGAAAAGGAGGAGGGAGGAGAGCGGGGGAAACUGGCCGGGUUAGUUGACUGGUUGGUUGACUGAUUGGUUGGUUUGCUUUGCUUUACUUUGCUCUCUCUGCUUAAUAAUUGACAACUUUUAACAAUGGAUCUCUUGGCUCUU
Molecule: unclassified non-coding RNA, 310 nt
Filed under: fungal sp.
Lineage: Eukaryota; Fungi
Description: partial internal transcribed spacer region
Rfam family: Eukaryotic small subunit ribosomal RNA (bases 1-46)
Source: RNAcentral